RNAcentral lists this microRNA (25 nucleotides) under Eptesicus fuscus (big brown bat). Its description in RNAcentral is "efu-miR-9366". Lineage: Eukaryota; Metazoa; Chordata; Mammalia; Chiroptera; Vespertilionidae. The record is from miRBase by way of RNAcentral.
UACAGGUGAAGCAAGAGCUUUUGCA